Long non-coding RNA from Xenia sp. Carnegie-2017, 134 nucleotides. RefSeq lists it as uncharacterized. The record is from RefSeq and is a predicted model, not a curated record. Lineage: Eukaryota; Metazoa; Cnidaria; Anthozoa; Malacalcyonacea; Xeniidae. The transcript has 2 exons.
GUAAAGAAGCAUGUUUUUGCGUUUUGCCACAGUCCUGAAUCUGAACAACUUGCUGCGGAUAGUGUCAUCAGAAUACAGCCUCCGUAAAGUUCAAGUAGGAUUGCUCUUAUGCAAAAUAUAUUUUUCACUUUUAA